Molecule: ribosomal RNA, 406 nt
Filed under: uncultured bacterium
Lineage: Bacteria
Description: partial 16S ribosomal RNA
Rfam family: Bacterial small subunit ribosomal RNA
Source: RNAcentral
AUUGAACGCUGGCGGCAGGCCUAACACAUGCAAGUCGAACGAGUGGCGGACGGGUGAGUAAUGUCUGGGAAACUGCCCGAUGGAGGGGGAUAACUACUGGAAACGGUAGCUAAUACCGCAUACCAUCGGAUGUGCCCAGAUGGGAUUCGCUAGUAGGUGGGGUAACGGCUCACCUAGGCGACGAUCCCUAGCUGGUCUGAGAGGAGGACCAGCCACACGGGGACUUAGACACGGUCCGGAGGCCGUGGGGAGGCGUAAGUGGGGAAUUUUGGACAAUGGGCGGAAGCCUGAUGCAGCCAUGCCGCGUGUAUGAAGAAGGCCUUCGGGUUGUAAAGUACUUUCAGCGAGGAGUCGUUACUCGCAGAAGAAGCACCGGCUAACUCCGUGGCAGCCGCCGCGGUAAUUC